UCCACAACUCUUCUACUUAAUCCUAGUUUCACUUCUUCAAAGAAGAUAGUAGUAUCCGAGGGCUACAAGCACAAGAAGUAGCAAAGCAGCAGCAGCAGCAGCCCACAUCCAAUAAUUAGUUGACUUUUUCCUCCUCAGGAUAGCUUUUGGAAGUGAAUCUGUGCCCCUUGACCGAAUCCGGUGCUUGACAGAGUUCUCCUUCUUAACUUUUGCCUUCACUGAUGCAGGAGGUUCAUCAUGCGCUUCAACCUUCUCAGUUUCUGUUUCCUCCACAACUUCUUCAGCUGGAUCCUCAGAUUCAAUCAUAGAUGCAGAUGCUGCAGCUUUCUUCUUCAAUUUCUUUUCACGCUCCCUAAUCUUCUUUUCAGCUUCCUUUUGAGCUUUUAUAGCUGCUUUAGCUGCAGCUUUCUCAGCCAAUUUCUUCUUCCUCUCCAUGGCUUGCUUAGCUUUUUCCAUCUCUUCUUCUCUUUUGAGCUCCUUCAAUUUUGCUUCAUCUAUUUCCUGCUUUGCAGGGGGAUUAUUUUGCUGCUUUUUUAACCCAGAGAUCUCUUCAGACACAAUAACAUGCUCUGAAGUGGCCUUUGAAUCUGUCU
RNAcentral lists this unclassified non-coding RNA (593 nucleotides) under Hevea brasiliensis (rubber tree). The record is from RNAcentral. Lineage: Eukaryota; Viridiplantae; Streptophyta; Magnoliopsida; Malpighiales; Euphorbiaceae.